UGCGAUAAUGCGCUCAAAAAGUUUGCCC
Molecule: small RNA, 28 nt
Filed under: Bombyx mori (domestic silkworm)
Lineage: Eukaryota; Metazoa; Arthropoda; Insecta; Lepidoptera; Bombycidae
Description: ovarian small RNA-2244
Source: RNAcentral